CUGGCGGCAGGCCUAACACAUGCAAGUCGAACGGCUCUUCGGAGCAGUGGCGGACGGGUGAGUAACGCGUGGGAACGUGCCCUUUGGUUCGAAACAACACAGGGAAACUUGUGCUAAUACCGGAUGUGCCCUUCGGGGGAAAGAUUUAUCGCCAUUGGAGCGGCCCGCGUUGGAUUAGGUAGUUGGUGGGGUAAUGGCCCACCAAGCCGACGAUCCAUAGCUGGUCUGAGAGGAUGAUCAGCCACACUGGGACUGAGACACGGCCCAGACUCCUACGGGAGGCAGCAGUGGGGAAUCUUGCGCAAUGGGCGAAAGCCUGACGCAGCCAUGCCGCGUGAAUGAUGAAGGUCUUAGGAUUGUAAAAUUCUUUCACCGGGGAAGAUAAUGACGGUACCCGGAGAAGAAGCCCCGGCUAACUUCGUGCCAGCAGCCGCGGUAAUACGAAGGGGGCUAGCGUUGCUCGGAAUUACUGGGCGUAAAGGGCGCGUAGGCGGACAGUUAAGUCAGAGGUGAAAGCCCAGGGCUCAACCUUGGAAUUGCCUUUGAUACUGGCUGUCUUGAGUUCGGGAGAGGUGAGUGGAAUGCCGAGUGUAGAGGUGAAAUUCGUAGAUAUUCGGCGGAACACCAGUGGCGAAGGCGACUCACUGGCCCGAUACUGACGCUGAGGCGCGAAAGCGUGG
This 680-nucleotide ribosomal RNA is filed under the name uncultured Alphaproteobacteria bacterium. RNAcentral's name for it is "bacterial SSU rRNA". It matches the Rfam family "Bacterial small subunit ribosomal RNA", at positions 36 to 764 of the family's 1533-position model. Lineage: Bacteria; Pseudomonadati; Pseudomonadota; Alphaproteobacteria. The record is from RNAcentral.